UACCAGCACCCCGAGUGGUCGGGACGUUUUAUUGGGCCUAAAGCAUCCGUAGCCGGUUCUACAAGUCUUCCGUUAAAUCCAACUGCUUAACAGGUGGGCUGCGGAAGAUACUAUAGAGCUAGGAGGCGGGGAGAGGCAAGCGGUACUCGAUGGGUAGGGGUAAAAUCCGUUGAUCCAUUGAAGACCACCAGUGGCGAAGGCGGCUUGCCAGAACGCGCUCGACGGUGAGGGAUGAAAGCUGGGGGAGCAAACCGG
RNAcentral lists this ribosomal RNA (255 nucleotides) under uncultured bacterium. Its description in RNAcentral is "partial 16S ribosomal RNA". It matches the Rfam family "Archaeal small subunit ribosomal RNA", at positions 474 to 727 of the family's 1478-position model. The record is from RNAcentral.